RNAcentral lists this ribosomal RNA (381 nucleotides) under uncultured eukaryote. RNAcentral describes it as "partial 18S ribosomal RNA". It matches the Rfam family "Eukaryotic small subunit ribosomal RNA", at positions 592 to 976 of the family's 1831-position model. The record is from RNAcentral.
CAAUAGCGUAUAUUAAAGCUGUUGCGGUUAAAAAGCUCGUAGUUGGAUUUCUGUCAAGGACAACUGGUCCGCCCUCCGGGUGAGCACAUAGUUUGGUCUUGGCAUCUUGCUGGAAACUGUCGCUGCGCUUGGUUGUGUGGUGCAGCUUUCAGCACUUUCACUUUGAGGAAAUUGGAGUGUUUCAAGCAGGCACAUGCCUUUGGACACAGUAGCAUGGAAUAAUUAGAUUGGGCUUUUGCUCCAACUUGUUGGUUCCUGGAGCUGAGGUGAGAAUCAAUGGGGAUUGUUGGGGGCAUCCGAAUUUAGCCGUCAGAGGUGAAAUUCUUGGAUCUGCUAAAGACGGACAACUGCGAAAGCGUUUGCCCAGGAUGUUUUCAUUGA